This 500-nucleotide ribosomal RNA is filed under the name uncultured bacterium. RNAcentral's name for it is "bacterial SSU rRNA". It matches the Rfam family "Bacterial small subunit ribosomal RNA", at positions 16 to 507 of the family's 1533-position model. The record is from RNAcentral.
AUCCUGGCUCAGGAUGAACGCUAGCUACAGGCUUAACACAUGCAAGUCGAGGGGCAGCAUGUCGGUUGCUUGCAACCGAUGAUGGCGACCGGCGCACGGGUGAGUAACGCGUAUCCAACCUACCCUUGUCCAUCGGAUAACCCGUCGAAAGGCGGCCUAACACGAUAUGCGGUUCUCAGCAGGCAUCUAACGAGAACGAAAUGUGAAGGAGAAGGAUGGGGAUGCGUCUGAUUAGCUUGUUGGCGGGGUAACGGCCCACCAAGGCAACGAUCAGUAGGGGUUCUGAGAGGAAGGUCCCCCACAUUGGAACUGAGACACGGUCCAAACUCCUACGGGAGGCAGCAGUGAGGAAUAUUGGUCAAUGGACGGGAGUCUGAACCAGCCAAGUAGCGUGCAGGAUGACGGCCCUAUGGGUUGUAAACUGCUUUUAUAGGGGGAUAAAGUGUGCCACGUGUGGCAUAUUGCAGGUACCCUAUGAAUAAGGACCGGCUAAUUCCGUG